This 544-nucleotide ribosomal RNA is filed under the name Clostridioides difficile. RNAcentral's name for it is "bacterial LSU rRNA". It matches the Rfam family "Bacterial large subunit ribosomal RNA", at positions 398 to 944 of the family's 2925-position model. Lineage: Bacteria; Bacillati; Bacillota; Clostridia; Peptostreptococcales; Peptostreptococcaceae. The record is from RNAcentral.
AGAUAUGAUCCAGAGUACCACGGGACACGUGAAACCCUGUGGGAAGCAGGAGGGACCACCCUCCAAGGCUAAAUACUACCUAGUGACCGAUAGCGUAUAGUACCGUGAGGGAAAGGUGAAAAGAACCCCGGGAGGGGAGUGAAAUAGAACCUGAAACCCUGCACUUACAAGCUGUGGAAGCACAGUUCUUGUGUGACCGCGUACUUUUUGUAGAACGGGCCAACGAGUUACGUUAGGUAGCAAGGUUAAGGACUUAAGGUGCGGAGCCGUAGCGAAAGCGAGUUUUAACUGAGCGUUCAGUUACUUGACGUAGACCCGAAACCGGGCGACCUACCCAUGAGCAGGAUGAAGCGAAAUUAAAAUUUCGUGGAGGUCCGAACCCACGAGCGUUGAAAAGCUCGGGGAUGACUUGUGGGUAGCGGUGAAAUUCCAAUCGAGCCCGGAGAUAGCUGGUUCUCCCCGAAAUAGCUUUAGGGCUAGCCUCAAGGUGAGAGAUACGGAGGUAGAGCACUGAAUGUCCUAUGGGGUAUUGCACCUACCGAAG